UAAAUUGAGAGUUUGAUCCUGGCUCAGGAUGAACGCUGGCGGCGUGCUUAACACAUGCAAGUCGAGCGAUGAAGUUUCCUUCGGGAAACGGAUUAGCGGCGGACGGGUGAGUAACACGUGGGUAACCUGCCUCAUAGAGUGGAAUAGCCUUCCGAAAGGAAGAUUAAUACCGCAUAACGUUGAAAGAUGGCAUCAUCAUUCAACCAAAGGAGCAAUUCGCUAUGAGAUGGAC
This 232-nucleotide ribosomal RNA is filed under the name Clostridium perfringens. RNAcentral describes it as "partial 16S ribosomal RNA". It matches the Rfam family "Bacterial small subunit ribosomal RNA", at positions 1 to 230 of the family's 1533-position model. The record is from RNAcentral. Lineage: Bacteria; Bacillati; Bacillota; Clostridia; Eubacteriales; Clostridiaceae.